GCUCGCGUGGCGGAAUUGGUAGACGCGCAUGAUUCAGGUUCAUGUGGGGAGACCCGUGGAGGUUCGAGUCCUCUCGCGAGCACCA
This 85-nucleotide transfer RNA is filed under the name Verrucomicrobiales bacterium. RNAcentral's name for it is "tRNA-Leu". It matches the Rfam family "tRNA". From Rfam's summary of the family: Transfer RNA (tRNA) molecules are approximately 80 nucleotides in length. Lineage: Bacteria; Pseudomonadati; Verrucomicrobiota; Verrucomicrobiia; Verrucomicrobiales. The record is from RNAcentral. RNAcentral also lists the same sequence under 1 other name.